Molecule: ribosomal RNA, 472 nt
Filed under: Centipeda dianae
Lineage: Bacteria; Bacillati; Bacillota; Negativicutes; Selenomonadales; Selenomonadaceae
Description: bacterial SSU rRNA
Rfam family: Bacterial small subunit ribosomal RNA
Source: RNAcentral
GACGAACGCUGGCGGCGUGCUUAACACAUGCAAGUCGAACGGGAUGAUUUAGAAGCUUGCUUUUAGAGAAUCUAGUGGCAAACGGGUGAGUAACACGUAGACAACCUGCCGACAGGAUGGGGACAACAUUCCGAAAGGAAUGCUAAUACCGAAUGAAGCGGAGGAGAGGCAUCUCUCUUCCGUGAAAGAUGGCCUCUAUUUAUAAGCUAUCACCUGUCGAUGGGUCUGCGUCUGAUUAGCUAGUUGGUGAGGUAACGGCUCACCAAGGCGACGAUCAGUAGCCGGUCUGAGAGGAUGAACGGCCACAUUGGGACUGAGACACGGCCCAGACUCCUACGGGAGGCAGCAGUGGGGAAUCUUCCGCAAUGGGCGCAAGCCUGACGGAGCAACGCCGCGUGAGUGAAGAAGGUCUUCGGAUCGUAAAGCUCUGUUGACGGGGACGAACGUGCGAGAGGUGAACAAUCUCUUGUAA